This 86-nucleotide transfer RNA is filed under the name Opitutaceae bacterium. Its description in RNAcentral is "tRNA-Leu". It matches the Rfam family "tRNA". From Rfam's summary of the family: Transfer RNA (tRNA) molecules are approximately 80 nucleotides in length. Their secondary structure includes four short double-helical elements and three loops (D, anti-codon, and T loops). The record is from RNAcentral. Lineage: Bacteria; Pseudomonadati; Verrucomicrobiota; Opitutia; Opitutales; Opitutaceae.
GCCCGGAUGGCGGAAUGGCAGACGCUGGGGACUUAAAAUCCCCUGCCCGCAAGGGCGUGUGGGUUCGAUCCCCACUCCGGGCACCA